AACGAACGCUGGCGGCAGGCUUAACACAUGCAAGUCGAACGCCCACUUCGGUGGGAGUGGCAGACGGGUGAGUAACGCGUGGGAACAUACCUUUUGCUUCGGAAUAUUCCCGGGAAACUGGGAGCAAUACCGAAUGUGCCCUGAGGGGGAAAGAUUUAUCGGCAAAAGAUUGGUCCGCGUUAGAUUAGGUAGUUGGUAGGGUAAAGGCCUACCAAGCCUACGAUCUAUAGCUGGUCUGAGAGGAUGAUCAGCCACAUUGGGACUGAGACACGGCCCAAACUCCUACGGGAGGCAGCAGUGGGGAAUAUUGGACAAUGGGCGCAAGCCUGAUCCAGCCAUGCCGCGUGAAUGAUGAAGGCCUUAGGGUUGUAAAAUUCUUUCACCGGGGACGAUAAUGACGGUACCCGGAGAAGAAGCCCCGGCUAACUUCGUG
This 433-nucleotide ribosomal RNA is filed under the name uncultured bacterium. RNAcentral describes it as "bacterial SSU rRNA". It matches the Rfam family "Bacterial small subunit ribosomal RNA", at positions 29 to 507 of the family's 1533-position model. The record is from RNAcentral.